RNAcentral lists this ribosomal RNA (191 nucleotides) under Photobacterium sp. ST-4. Its description in RNAcentral is "partial 16S ribosomal RNA". It matches the Rfam family "Bacterial small subunit ribosomal RNA", at positions 1155 to 1345 of the family's 1533-position model. Lineage: Bacteria; Pseudomonadati; Pseudomonadota; Gammaproteobacteria; Vibrionales; Vibrionaceae. The record is from RNAcentral.
GUGAUAAACCGGAGGAAGGUGGGGACGACGUCAAGUCAUCAUGGCCCUUACGAGUAGGGCUACACACGUGCUACAAUGGCGUAUACAGAGGGCGGCCAACCAGCGAUGGUGAGCGAAUCCCACAAAGUACGUCGUAGUCCGGAUUGGAGUCUGCAACUCGACUCCAUGAGGUCGGAAUCGCUAGUAAUCGG